RNAcentral lists this ribosomal RNA (710 nucleotides) under Salmonella enterica subsp. enterica serovar Enteritidis. RNAcentral describes it as "partial 23S ribosomal RNA". It matches the Rfam family "Bacterial large subunit ribosomal RNA", at positions 690 to 1397 of the family's 2925-position model. The record is from RNAcentral. Lineage: Bacteria; Pseudomonadati; Pseudomonadota; Gammaproteobacteria; Enterobacterales; Enterobacteriaceae.
GGGCGUUAAGUUGCAGGGUAUAGACCCGAAACCCGGUGAUCUAGCCAUGGGCAGGUUGAAGGUUGGGUAACACUAACUGGAGGACCGAACCGACUAAUGUUGAAAAAUUAGCGGAUGACCUGUGGCUGGGGGUGAAAGGCCAAUCAAACCGGGAGAUAGCUGGUUCUCCCCGAAAGCUAUUUAGGUAGCGCCUCGUGAAUUCAUCUCCGGGGGUAGAGCACUGUUUCGGCUAGGGGGCCAUCCCGGCUUACCAACCCGAUGCAAACUGCGAAUACCGGAGAAUGUUAUCACGGGAGACACACGGCGGGUGCUAACGUCCGUCGUGAAGAGGGAAACAACCCAGACCGCCAGCUAAGGUCCCAAAGUCAUGGUUAAGUGGGAAACGAUGUGGGAAGGCCCAGACAGCCAGGAUGUUGGCUUAGAAGCAGCCAUCAUUUAAAGAAAGCGUAAUAGCUCACUGGUCGAGUCGGCCUGCGCGGAAGAUGUAACGGGGCUAAACCAUGCACCGAAGCUGCGGCAGCGACGCUAUGCGUUGUUGGGUAGGGGAGCGUUCUGUAAGCCUGCGAAGGUGGCCUGUGAGGGUUGCUGGAGGUAUCAGAAGUGCGAAUGCUGACAUAAGUAACGAUAAAGCGGGUGAAAAGCCCGCUCGCCGGAAGACCAAGGGUUCCUGUCCAACGUUAAUCGGGGCAGGGUGAGUCGACCCCUAAGGC